Molecule: ribosomal RNA, 100 nt
Filed under: Timarcha espanoli
Lineage: Eukaryota; Metazoa; Arthropoda; Insecta; Coleoptera; Chrysomelidae
Also listed under: 2 other names
Description: partial 5.8S ribosomal RNA
Rfam family: 5.8S ribosomal RNA
About the family: 5.8S ribosomal RNA (5.8S rRNA) is a component of the large subunit of the eukaryotic ribosome. It is transcribed by RNA polymerase I as part of the 45S precursor that also contains 18S and 28S rRNA.
Source: RNAcentral
GUCAACUUGUGAACUGCAGGACACAUGAACAUCGACAUUUCGAACGCACAUUGCGGUCCUCGGAUACUGUUCCCGGACCACUCCUGGCUGAGGGUCGUAU